This 509-nucleotide ribosomal RNA is filed under the name uncultured Glomeromycotina. RNAcentral describes it as "SSU rRNA". It matches the Rfam family "Eukaryotic small subunit ribosomal RNA", at positions 569 to 1079 of the family's 1831-position model. The record is from RNAcentral. Lineage: Eukaryota; Fungi; Glomeromycota.
AGCAGCCGCGGUAAUUUCAGCUCCAAUAGCGUAUAUUAAAGUUGUUGCAGUUAAAAAGCUCGUAGUUGAACUUCGGGGUUCACCCAUUGGUCAGGCUUAAUUGUCUGUACUGGUGAGAUGAGUCUCUACCUUCUGAGGAACUUUCAUGCCAUUUGUUUGGUGUGAUUGGAAAUCAGGACUGUUACUUUGAAAAAAUUAGAGUGUUUAAAGCAGGCUAACGUCUGAAUACAUUAGCAUGGAAUAAUGAAAUAGGACGGAUUGAUUCUAUUUCGUUGGUUUCUAGGGUCACCGUAAUGAUUAAUAGGGAUAGUUGGGGGCAUUAGUAUUCAAUUGUCAGAGGUGAAAUUCUUGGAUUUAUUGAAGACUAACUACUGCGAAAGCAUUUGCCAAGGAUGUUUUCAUUAAUCAAGAACGAAAGUUAGGGGAUCGAAGACGAUCAGAUACCGUCGUAGUCUUAACCAUAAACUAUGCCGACUAGGGAUCGGACGCAGUUAAUUUUAUAAUGACGU